CUGGAGCUUCAAUCUGUCCAGAUUUAUUAGCUUUGGAAACAAACUCUGGGAGCCGUGCAACAGAUAACCAACCGAUCCCCUGGGCCAGGCCCUUCAUUUAAAGCAAGCAGCUGCAGCGGUGCUACGCUGCUGUAUGUCCAGUCUGAACAGCUUUAUUACCUUUUAAUCAACUCUUCCUACAGGCUACCUCUGCUCAGUGCUCUAAAGGCGGAAGGUGAGAGAAAACAAGACGAGGACAUCAAUUUCAGAGCAUUCAGAAACCAAGUAAUCACUUCAUUCCAAUAAAAAGGACUCUUGGAAGGGAAAUGAAGACUUGAAGCAAGUCUAUAGCCCACAUGUGGCUAUAUCUUAUUAAACAAGAAAUGGUUAUGUAUUGAACGGUCAGGAGGUAAUGGGUUGAACGCAGUAGCUAUACAACAUUUAUUUAAUUUGUAGGUGGAUUUGGCUAUCAUUGGCAUGAGUAAGC
This is a long non-coding RNA of Etheostoma cragini (Arkansas darter), 466 nucleotides long. RefSeq lists it as uncharacterized. The record is from RefSeq and is a predicted model, not a curated record. NCBI's taxonomy places the organism in Eukaryota, Metazoa, Chordata, Actinopteri, Perciformes, Percidae. The transcript has 4 exons.